Molecule: ribosomal RNA, 465 nt
Filed under: Vreelandella stevensii
Lineage: Bacteria; Pseudomonadati; Pseudomonadota; Gammaproteobacteria; Oceanospirillales; Halomonadaceae
Description: partial 16S ribosomal RNA
Rfam family: Bacterial small subunit ribosomal RNA
Source: RNAcentral
CCUACGGGAGGCAGCAGUGGGGAAUAUUGGACAAUGGGGGCAACCCUGAUCCAGCCAUGCCGCGUGUGUGAAGAAGGCCCUCGGGUUGUAAAGCACUUUCAGUGAGGAAGAACGCCUGGUGGUUAAUACCCAUCAGGAAAGACAUCACUCACAGAAGAAGCACCGGCUAACUCCGUGCCAGCAGCCGCGGUAAUACGGAGGGUGCGAGCGUUAAUCGGAAUUACUGGGCGUAAAGCGCGCGUAGGUGGCUUGAUAAGCCGGUUGUGAAAGCCCCGGGCUCAAACUGGGAACGGCAUCCGGAACUGUCAAGCUAGAGUGCAGGAGAGGAAGGUAGAAUUCCCGGUGUAGCGGUGAAAUGCGUAGAGAUCGGGAGGAAUACCAGUGGCGAAGGCGGCCUUCUGGACUGACACUGACACUGAGGUGCGAAAGCGUGGGUAGCAAACAGGAUUAGAUACCCGGGUAGUC